ACCUCGCUGGCUUGUGGCAAUCUUAUCUUCCCUUCAGCAUGCAACUCUUCAUUCAGAAAGGCCCAUUCAUACACAUUUAACAGAGACAUACACAUAUAUGACAUUCUGGGAUCCCAACAAGAAAUAUUCAGGCCUUGGUUGUUACAUAAGAUGCUAGCAUUAAUUUUACACAUCAAAUCCCUCCCCAUGAGGUUUACCGGACACGCGUCAGAUAAAAGGAACAUAUGCAUAAACUUGUUACCGUCAUGCAUACAACAGAGUGGAGCAGUAAAUUCUUCCCUCACUAUAUGCCCCGUAGCACUCAUAGAUGAGUUAAACUGCCCACUCAAGGUGACAAAUGGGAAUUCAUCUUUGCGUAUGACAGAGUUGAUUGCACCAGAGUCUACCAUAAACAACAAUGCCUGUCCCUCAAACAUUAUUUCUUCGAGAGGCAGUUUAGAGAUGUUGCCUCUCAUUCAGCAUCAAGCAAAGCAAGUUCUUCAUUGCAUAGAGCGUUUCUUUCCCUUUCACACACAUCAGAAAAAACAGAAUUAGCAAGCAGAUAAUAUGGCAUUUGAACCGCAGAAAAAACAAGAUUGGACUUACCCGCCUCCGUACGAUGCUCCCCUUCCCCCUCCUGGCUUCAGUCGGCCCUUUCUUUACACACCGGCAGGUUUCCCGUGCUCCCUUGGGAUUCCGGUGUCCCUUUAGUUUUCAGGAAAUGGAAACAUUGUUUUUCAAAUGUCCUUUCUGUCCGCAAUACCAGCAAACAUUUUCUUUCGGAUCUCCUCUCCUCUUCUCUCAUUCUCUCUGCUGCCCGUUCUCUCGGGAGCGUUGUCCUUGCGAAGAGAAAUUGCGUUGUUAUGUUGUGGCUGUGCCCAUUCUCCUAUCUUGGCAAAAGCUGAAGAUAGCUGUUUCUCUGGUGAACGGCUUCUCUGCUGUUUCCUUAGGCCUUGCCUCCCGUUCCGUCUUUAUCUGAACAUCAUCUUUGUCCUCUUCAAAAGUGCUGUCAAGGAUGUGGAUGAUCUCUGAUUCUGGUCCACGUGGCAGUUCUUGCAUCGGCGGUGGCGGGGGUGCAGAAGGUGGUGCUUGUCGUGCUGGCUGUUGUAUCUGUGCGGCUUGUUGAGCUGGUGGUGGUGGAGGGCGACGUUGUGGAGGGGGUUGGAGGUCAUCGUCCAGAAGCGGUACCCUUGUGAAUUGGAAAUGUACCCCAGGUGGGGUACGUGCAGGUGCAUAGGGAGGAGGGGAAAAAAAAGAAAGUUAGGUUCAUCAUGUAAUGAAUCUGAUGUAGGAAAAACAUUUGCUUAAUGUUUAGCUCUGACUUAGUCUGAGUCAGUUCGUCCUUGGUUCUUAUCUUACUCUGUGCUCUCAUUUCUCUGCCAUCCGCAAUGAUCUUUUCCCUUAAUAAAGUGAGUGCUUUUACACUCAGUGUCCCUUUAGGAGGAAAAUUAUACCUUUUCUCCCAGAUUUUACGCUUUCCAACGCCCCCGUGCCCUUUGAUUUGAUCACUCGAGCAUACACGCCAUUUUCCAGAUCCAUUGACUUUGUACUCCCUUUCGAAUUACCCUGACCCAUGGUCACGAACGAAAUAACGCUUACCAUAUUAUCUAUUCAGAUGCCACCACAACGGUUCUUUUCCAGAUUCCGUCAGCCUUGACUUCAGAACUGGUUGAGACUCUCCCUUCCCUUAGGCCUGGGGUACGGAGCCCGAGACCUCUUGUCUCAGGGGUGAUCAGUCAGUCUCUCCCAAACCUGGAGUCUACAGCUGUGGAAUCCGCAUCCUCGUCGCCAUUAUUGUCGUGGAAUUUUAGCCGCAUCAAAUAAUACUCACUAAGAGUCAAAGUCAAGGAUCACACAGACACACUGUCGACAGAAUUUUCUUUGUCUGAAUUUUAUAUAUUCUGCAGAAUAGGCUCUCACCCCCAUGGUGCAAGAAGUUUAAAAACCUAAGAGCCCCGAUCACAAGGUUGAAGACACAUUUAUAGUAAGAUGCUGAAACACGUACAAUCAUCCGUUUCUACGUCAUUUAGAAGAUAGCCUUCAGUUGUCAGUGAUUAAGAGCAAAGACCGUUAAACAUAAUCAUAAAGGACAGUACAUGCUGGUACAUGAUGUUUAAGUCCUUCCUUGGACAUUGUACUUGCUGAAAAGACAGAAAGAGCAUAAUUCUGUACGUUAGCAGAAAAACAUGAUCUCCAUAUGAAUCACAAUUUGUGAGCUUCAGAUUGUUAUUAAAAAAUGAAAAAUAGGAUGAAAAAUAAAACAUAAUAA
Non-coding RNA from Paramisgurnus dabryanus, 2248 nucleotides. Lineage: Eukaryota; Metazoa; Chordata; Actinopteri; Cypriniformes; Cobitidae. The record is from RefSeq and is a predicted model, not a curated record.